Molecule: ribosomal RNA, 978 nt
Filed under: uncultured bacterium
Lineage: Bacteria
Description: bacterial SSU rRNA
Rfam family: Bacterial small subunit ribosomal RNA
Source: RNAcentral
AUCGCAGCCUACCAUGCAAGUCGAGGGGUAACGGGGUGCUUGCACCGCCGACGACCGGCGCACGGGUGAGCAACGCGUAUAGAACCUACCCGUUACAGGGGGAUAGCCCAGAGAAAUUUGGAUCAAUACCCCGUGGCGCCGGGGACCGGCAUCGGUCCCCGGCUAAAGAAUUUCGGUAACGGAUGGCUAUGCGUCCCAUUAGUUAGUUGGUAGGGUAACGGCCUACCAAGACUGCGAUGGGUAGGGGCCCUGAGAGGGGGAUCCCCCACACUGGUACUGAGACACGGACCAGACUCCUACGGGAGGCAGCAGUGAGGAAUAUUGGACAAUGGGCGGUAGCCUGAUCCAGCCAUGCCGCGUGCAGGAAGAAUGUCCUAUGGACUGUAAACUGCUUUUGUACGGGAAGAACCGGGGGCACGCGUGCCCCCCUGACGGUACCGUAAGAAUAAGGAUCGGCUAACUCCGUGCCAGCAGCCGCGGUAAUACGGAGGAUCCGAGCGUUAUCCGGAAUCAUUGGGUUUAAAGGGUCCGUAGGCGGGCCGUUAAGUCAGGGGUGAAAGUCUGCGGCUCAACCGUAGGACUGCCCUUGAUACUGGCGGCCUUGAGUUAUGGUGAAGUAGCCAGAAUAUGUGGUGUAGCGGUGAAAUGCAUAGAUAUCACAUGGAAUACCGAUUGCGAAGGCAGGCUGCUAACCAUAUACUGACGCUGAUGGACGAAAGCGUGGGUAGCGAACAGGAUUAGAUACCCUGGUAGUCCACGCCGUAAACGAUGGAUACUAGCUGUCCGGCGGCAACGCUGGGCGGCCAAGCGAAAGUGAUAAGUAUCCCACCUGGGGAGUACGUCCGCAAGGAUGAAACUCAAAGGAAUUGACGGGGGCCCGCACAAGCGGUGGAGCAUGUGGUUUAAUUCGAUGAUACGCGAGGAACCUUACCAGGGCUUGAAUGUAGUGCGACAGGCCCAGAGAUGGGCCCUUCUUCG